GAAGCAUGUGACAAAUAAAAUGUUAUUUGAGUGUACGUCAAAACUUUUUUUCAAGUUAUUGAUGAGCAGCCAGUUACGAGGUACCAAUAACAGUCUAUAGCCUACAGUUACCCCUUUGGCAGCCUACUUCCCAUAUCAUUAUUAGGUUCAAAAGGCAUGGCUAUGAUUUGAGCACUGUGACCGUUUUGUAAGUCACAGUGAGGUCCGAGACCUUGGAUGCCGGCGUUUGUUUGUGCUGCUUUUAAAAUUCCUAACGGUUGGCAGGUCUGUAUAUCAAAAAACACAAAGGACAGGAAGUGCUAGUUUGCUUUUAAAGACAGUUGGGAUGGGCUAACUAUUGGUUCAUUACAAUCUGAGUGACAACAACAUAGUGGAGUGGAAGUUGCCCCGUCUGGGGUCGGACAUAAGAGUAUCCCACUGGUCAAGGGUGGAUUUUGCUGUAUGGUAUUCUGAUAAUAAAUAUUUUGUAAAGAGCAACCUAACCUGUAUCAGUGACAGAUGGAAAUAUUAAUGAAAGAGGUGCAUUCUGGGAUUGUUUUUAUGAAGUAAUCAUGGUUACUGUAGUUUGUGUGCACAGUGUACACAGACAGACAACCGUAUGGUCAGGCGUUUUUACAGCAUGGCAUUACACUAGCAAAGAUUGACCAAAACAGGUAUUAAGCAAAACACAAUAGAUGACAACAUCCUCUAAACCUUUGUGUACUUUUACACUUUGUUUCUGCUGUUUGUUCUGCAUUAGUUCACUGAAAUGGUGUAGAGAAUACUGUACAUAUUAGAAUGUAUGUAGUUAAUUACUUUUGACCAAAACGUGUCCCCUUGGUGACCCUGUCAAUCAAGGGCUGUUGGUUUCUAGGAAAGACAAUUAUCAAGAACUGGGUCCUAUUCUUUCUUUCCAUUAUUCGUUUUUUUAUUACUUUUUUAUUAUAUAUAUUUUUUUCUCUCUAGCACUUAACACUACCCAAACCAAUGCUCUAACCACAUAUCUAGUGCAGAAUUAACAGUUAAAAAGUGCUUUUAAAUUGUAUUCCAUUGCUUUCAAAUGUGCCACUUAAUGUCUACUAGGAGUUUAAAUUAUUUUACGAAGGAUAAAUGCCAAAAUAAGGG
Molecule: long non-coding RNA, 1104 nt
Organism: Esox lucius (northern pike)
Lineage: Eukaryota; Metazoa; Chordata; Actinopteri; Esociformes; Esocidae
Source: Ensembl